Long non-coding RNA from Calidris pugnax (ruff), 3049 nucleotides. RefSeq lists it as uncharacterized. The record is from RefSeq and is a predicted model, not a curated record. NCBI's taxonomy places the organism in Eukaryota, Metazoa, Chordata, Aves, Charadriiformes, Scolopacidae. The transcript is spliced from 2 exons.
CAGAAUUUGAGAUUAAUUAUGCUUUCUUCUUUGUCUUCCCACCUGCCACUUCGCUGUACCAUACUGCUCCCACCCCUCGAGCCUGCAUUAAUACAAAUCUAAGCCCAGUGAUCAAAGAAGAAAAGGCAGUAGUGACAAUAUAUCCCUAAACAUUAAUUAGGAACCACGUGGUCAAUGGCACAUUCCUGCUUGCAGUAAAGGAAGGCUGUCGGGACAUUCAAAACUACCCGUGGGUAUUGCUUCAGACUCCAAAGAAACUCCUCGUCAAGACAGUUCCAAGAACACAGCCACCAAAGUUUCUUCCUUGUCUCAGACCAAAGCCUACUCUGCACAUCCUAGCAAGGCUACAAGAGAAUCACUCCUGCCGAGCGGGCGCAUCCAGGUUGAUGCUAGAGUUAUGCAGAUGCACUGCAUUACUCUGACCUACUCUUUAUCCUGUAACAUUCAACACAGGAAUUUCCAGUCACUCAGUCUUACACAGGACUGAAAUCUCCAGACAUCGAGCUCCUCAAUCUUUUGUGACUCCAGAAGCCACCACUUAAAAGUGGGCACAAGCUGUGGCCUGAGCUCAAGACAUGGAGGAACCUGACAGGAGCCCACCCUUGAGACUUGCAUUUACAGAAACCAGAUCGCAGCUCACACAACGAGAUUCAAUGAAAACACUGUACCCAGGUGCCAUGGAAACUACUCUCCUUCACAAAUUCCCUGUUCUUUUAUUCCAUGAAUGAUUGUUACAAGUCUACAUUGAUGGCAAAGAGUUAUUGGCAUAUUAUGUGAACGUCACGGGACUUCUCACAUGGUUUCAUUCAGCUUCUUUGUUCAAAGAGGAGAAGAUUCUCUGGUACACAGAAGACCAUUGCAGUUACCCGCAGACGAGUUCUGCAAUGAAGUCACUGAAGACACUGUCUUGUAUUUUUCUUCAGAUAUGACGAUUUUAUGGCUUUUUUUCUUAGGAACAACCUGAUUUUUAUGUUAUCAUUAUUUUUUUUUCUUUUAAAAAUUUCACUGAUAUCCUGGACUAUGCCUUUUCACCCCAUUUCUUGAACCUCCAGUUGUAAUUCAUAAAUAUCCUGAGAUCAAAUCCUCCCUGUGUAGCUCCCAGGUACAUUCUUUACAAGGGAACUCAGCUGAAGGGACAGGUUCACCAAGAUAAGUGACUUCAAGUGGUAGCUACAUGCUCUAUGGUCCCCUAUAACCAGCUCUUUUGUCCCAAUCCCCAUGUUAGUUAUUUAUGUGCUAGCUAGAUUAUUUACAGAAAGCCCUACUAUUUUCAAAAAGUAAUGAUUUUGGCUUACUUUCAGGUCUUGUAAAAUGCACACAUCUUUUGUUGCUUUUUCCUCUAUUUCCUUGAGCAUUCUUUAUUUUUGUAAACAAGAUUUCAAGGCUGCAGUCAUGUUUCACUACUGCAGAUAAAUGACACUUUGUAAGGAAGCAAAAGUCGAAAACCUGUCAUGGCAGAUCGUACCAUUCUCUUGCCUUUCCCAGAAUUACCAGUUAUUUUUUAUCCCUACAUGAACCGCUGGCACUACAGACUAGGCUACCUGAGAUUUUGAUGCUGUGUAAUUAUUUUUAUAGCAUCUAUGCAGAGUAGUUCUCCUUACCUGGCUUCCUGCCUGCCAUAGAUACUUCCAUUCCUACGCAGUAACCUCUCUGCUAAGCCCAACAAUUUAAAUCACACCCAAGCACGUUGAGCAUCAGGAAGCUAAAAGCCCACGCUCAAAGGACUGAGGCUGAUGAAGUGACAUACGCCUGCAUGGUUCUGGCAGGUCCCUGCCGAAGUCCCUUGCUGUAGAAGAAAGCAAAGGCACUUGAUCCUGAAUGUCACCAUGUCUGGGGCAAAAGUCAAUCUGAGCAUCAAGCAUCUGAGAAGGGUGGUUCACUAAAUUCCGCUCAAAUCUUUCUGAUGCUAAGGGGAUGCAGGACAAAAGUAAAUCCCAACACACUUUUAGACAAUUAUGCACCUAAGGAAAGAACCCAAAUCUCUUUGAAACACUUGCAAACAGCGAAACGGCCCACCAGGUGUCAUUUUCUCUUGUAAUGGCCAUUAGAGUGCCCUAACAUCAAUUAACUACGUCUAGCUUGCCUAAAGCCCAGUCUGUAAAUAAGCAGCUCGCUUUCAGUUGGUCUAUGCAGAUGACAAGAAGAAAAUGGACUAACACCGUGCUGUUUGGCUGUUGGUGUCCAUCCUGUGCCCUGGACAUCAGCUUUCAGCAUCUCACUGGAUCACGGCCCCCUGCCCACCCCCUGAGCCUCAGGCAGAGCUGGUGAGGAGGAGAGGCAAGAGUCCAGGCAGCAUGACUGUGGUUCUCCUUCCCCUCCAUGGCUCACGGUGGGUACCGCCCAGCCAAGCUGCCACAGCUGGAACAGGGACCUCCACUGUGGCCCACCCCAGUAUCACUGAGCAACCAAGAGAAUUAGUGCUCUUCUGCUCAUCGGCAGGGAGAAAGGCAGGCCACGUCCUGGCCUCAGUGAUUAGAGUAUCACCUCACUAGGGCAUCUGUAUUUAACGGUCAGACUCAGAAAACACUUAAAGGUGGGCUAGGGAAUGACCAAAAAAUGCUUCACAUGUGCAUUUCAGGUAUGAGUCUGCUAAAUUUGCAGUUUCCCUGCCCAUGGACAGUAAGGGGCUGCUUCUGGUGGUGCAUAUUCCCUGUGCCACUGUUCUCUGCAGACAAACACGGGGAAGACAACGUGUCCUGUGAAAUAGCAGCCAAUCUCCCCCCAUCCUGGAUGCCUGCGAGUCUACUUACAAAGCCGGCCAGAAUCCAGAGGAAAACUAUUGGUGUCACCCAACACUAACUGGAUCCAUUUAAAUGAGUAAAAAGAAAGUUACAGCCACAAGAAUGAAUUAUCAAGGGUAAUGGCAGGGCAGAUCUCGAUUUUGAAUCAUUUGUAUUUCUGUCCUUCAGCUCAAACAAUCCCCCCUUGAAAGCUCAAGACAGUACCAAGGACAUAGGAUAGCAGAGAAGAGAACUCAGCUGAACAUGCACAAGCCUGGACUGUCUUCAGAGACCAGCAUUAAUAAUAAAUAAACUGCUCAAUAUACAAA